Molecule: long non-coding RNA, 579 nt
Filed under: Parus major (Great Tit)
Lineage: Eukaryota; Metazoa; Chordata; Aves; Passeriformes; Paridae
Description: lncRNA (ENSPMJG00000019280.1)
Source: RNAcentral
CUUGUUUCAUGCUUGCUUACAUUAUUCAGAAGCAUUUUGCAUCUUCACCUGAAUUGGCUGAAGAGGCAUUGUCCAGACAUCUGUAAAGUAGGGGAAGAUGAACAGACACAUAGAGAUGGAUGGGUGAAGUGAAGUAGAAUAUUACUGAAUAAUCUUCAACCUUGAAUGAGGAAAAUGAGAUACAGGAUGCCUAAUGUUUCAUUGACAUCCAUGAAAAGAGACAUGAAAACAUCCAAAUCUCUCUCAGUGGAAGAAAGUUAAGGGGACCACAUGCAGAACCACAGCUCCACUGAGCAUGGUGACCCUGGCAGGACAACAGGGAUCCCAUCCGUGCACCUGUCCUUGUGUGGCCAGAGGGAGAGGCCGUGCCUCGUGCAUCAAGAAGAAAAUCAUGUUUGGAACUACAUGUUAUACAUUAAAUGUGACACAAGAGAGAUGAAUUAUGCAGUAAAUUCUGUGUGUGCUGAUCAGCACAAAGCCCAAGACACAUUCAGCAGAGUUGCUGUGAAGAUCUGUAAUGAGUUUCAAGUACAUCAUUUCCUGAUGGAGGGAAGCUAUUCUAUAAUGAGUUUGAUAUGA